Patella vulgata (common limpet) is the source of this 1147-nucleotide long non-coding RNA. RefSeq lists it as uncharacterized. The transcript has 5 exons. The record is from RefSeq and is a predicted model, not a curated record. NCBI's taxonomy places the organism in Eukaryota, Metazoa, Mollusca, Gastropoda, Patellidae.
AUUACAGACGAUGGCUUCAUGGUAGUUGUUCUGUGGAUUUUUAAUGCCGUUAACGUAAAUUGCAAAUUUCUCAUGAGUCCAGUAAAGAUAACCUUGUAUAACGUGUUUCUAUGAUAAACUUAGAUGUAUUGUUGAUAGUGGGGUCUAGAGAGUUUACGGAUACAGUGACGGCGCCAGUUAAAGUACAUAAACUGUAAUUGGAUGCAGUCUGGAAAUUUAGAAUGUACAGAACGUGAAACUGAAUAAUCCUCCUCUCUUACAUGAUCGUGGGGACGCAGAGCAUAUUAUACAUGGAGGUAUUGUACAGUCAAUGCAAUUGAUGAGGACCACAACAAUGUUAAGGCGCCGAAUGAUCAAUACGAUGAUGAUUACCACGGUUAUAGGACACAGACAGGGGAGCUGUGACUUGGAUGGAUGUCAAGCGGCCGUUUAUGGUUCCAGGAACUCGACUGGGAAAUGGAACAUUAACAGGGAAAUUCUAGAUUGGCAAUAGCAGGUUUAUGUAUGUACUGCAUGUACUAUAUAUAUUUUCUAAAUUUUCAUGGGUCUGUCUAACACACGUAGGUACAGUAAAGAACAUUAUGUUGACAAGUUUGAAACACAUUUUAAAAUAGGGACCCCUUGAAAACAUUGACUUUUAGUUAGGCUUGGGGUGUAAAACUACUUGAGGGACCGAGUCCAUCUGUUAUGCCGAGACUAACAUGUCAUAACUUCAUCAACAAAGAUCACAACAAAUAUGUUUAUCUCUAUCGGGAGAAAACAUACCGACGUUCAGAUGGGAUGGACAGUUUCUUCAUAUAUACACAAAAUAAACACCAUAACUUCAUCAACAAAGAUCACACCAAAUAUGUUUAUCUCUAUCGGGAGAAAACAUACCGACGGUCAGAUGGGACGGACAGUUUCUUCAUACAUUCACAAAAUAAACACCAUAACUUCAUCAACAAAGAUCACACCAAAUAUGUUUAUCUCUAUCGGGAGAAAACACACCGACGGUCAGAUGGGACAGACAGUUUCUUCAUACAUACACAAAAUAAACACCUUCUCCUGUCCGUACAGUUUCUUCAUACAUAGAUAUAGGCAGUUUGCUUCGUUUCUUUGGAACAUAACAUUUGGGGUUGUUUCAUCCUGCAGUUUAAACCGAUAUCCU